Molecule: ribosomal RNA, 428 nt
Filed under: uncultured bacterium
Lineage: Bacteria
Description: bacterial SSU rRNA
Rfam family: Bacterial small subunit ribosomal RNA
Source: RNAcentral
UGGGGAAUAUUGGACAAUGGGCGAAAGCCUGAUCCAGCAAUGCCGCGUGUGUGACGAAGGCCUGCGGGUUGUAAAGCACUUUCGUUGGGGAAGAAAUGCUCAGAGCUAAUACCUCUGAGAGUUGACGUUACCCAAAGAAGAAGCACCGGCUAACUCUGUGCCAGCAGCCGCGGUAAUACAGAGGGUGCAAGCGUUAAUCGGAGUUACUGGGCGUAAAGGGCGCGUAGGUGGAUAUUUAAGUCGGAUGUGAAAUCCCCGGGCUUAACCUGGGAAUUGCAUUCGAUACUGGAUAUCUAGAGUAUGGUAGAGGAAAGCGGAAUUCCCGGUGUAGCGGUGAAAUGCGUAGAUAUCGGGAAGAACAUCAGGGCGAAGGCGGCUUUCUGGACCAAUACUGACACUGAGGCGCGAAAGCGUGGGGAGCAAACAGG